This 492-nucleotide ribosomal RNA is filed under the name uncultured bacterium. RNAcentral describes it as "bacterial SSU rRNA". It matches the Rfam family "Bacterial small subunit ribosomal RNA", at positions 32 to 500 of the family's 1533-position model. The record is from RNAcentral.
AAUCAACGCUGGCGGCGUGCCUCAGACAUGCAAGUCGAACGCGAAAGUCUCCUUCGGGGGACAAGUAGAGUGGCGCACGGGUGAGUAACACGUAGGUAAUCUACCUUCGGAUGGGGAAUAACAAUCGGAAACGGUUGCUAAUACCGCGUAAUGCAGCGGCACCUAAUGGUGACAGUUGUUAAAGCGGGGGAUCGAAAGACCUCGCGUCUGAAGAGGAGCCUGCGGCGGAUUAGCAGUUGGUAGGGUAACGGCCUACCAAGGCGACGAUCCGUAGCCGGCCUGAGAGGGCGGUCGGCCACACUGACACUGACAUACGGGUCAGACUCCUACGGGAGGCAGCAGUCGGGAAUUUUGGGCAAUGGGCGAAAGCCUGACCCAGCAACGCCGCGUGAAGGAUGAAAUCCCUCGGGAUGUAAACUUCGCAAGAACGGGAAGAAUAAGCCUGUGCUAAUACCACUGGCGAUGACGGUACCGUUUGUAAGCUCCGGCUAA